GUGCUCACCACAGCAGCAUAUAUUCUAAAACUGGAAUGAUACAGAGAAGAUUAGCAUGGCCCUUGUGCAAGGAUGACAUACAAAUUUGUGAAGAGUUCCCUAUUUUU
Molecule: small nuclear RNA, 107 nt
Organism: Trichechus manatus latirostris (Florida manatee)
Lineage: Eukaryota; Metazoa; Chordata; Mammalia; Sirenia; Trichechidae
Source: RefSeq, a predicted model, not a curated record